GGAAGACUGUAGCUCAAUGAUAAGAGCAUCUACUUUUCUUGCAGGUCCUGGGUUCAGUUCCCAGGAUUUCCA
Podarcis lilfordi (Lilford's wall lizard) is the source of this 72-nucleotide non-coding RNA. Lineage: Eukaryota; Metazoa; Chordata; Lepidosauria; Squamata; Lacertidae. The record is from the annotation of a GenBank genome assembly.